UCUGGAACUCACUCCCAUGAUAACAGCAUGAAUCCAUUCAUGAGGAAAGAGCCCUCCUGACCUAAUUACCCACUUAAAUAUCCCUGCUCCCAACAGGGAGCGCUGGGGAUUAGGUUUCCAACACAGCAAUCUGGGGACACUUUCAAAGCACAGCUGAGGAUAUUCCUGUCUUCUGUUUGUUCCUCUGUCACGUGAUGCCCUGGGGCAGCAUGAACAGCAGGUAAGUUUCACGACAUGAGAUCGUCCAAGAGGCCUAUGGGGUUCUUCCUGGGGUCUGCCUCGGUGGCACCCUCUUCCUACCCUGCUGUGUUGAGGCGACCCUGCUCUGUUGGCCUGCUGGCGAGGAGGAGAGUUCUGUGAGCUGAGGGCUGACAGACUCCAUUUAAACAUCAAAGAGUGGAUAAGUGAACCAGGCAGGUGCGUGCUCCCCGUCAGCACCCACUUGACAAGACACUGUAACAGGCAAGGAAUCUGGAUAGAAAAUGGGCAGAAGAGAAAAAGAAAAAUGUUCAAAAUAGAAACUAGGAAAUGUAAGUUGAAGCCAUGGGGUAACACGAUUUAAAAUAGAGGAAAAGGUAGAAUAGGCCGACAUGUCCGACAGGUGAGUGGCUAUGUAAAUCAGAGGAAAUAUUUGUCACAGAGUUCUUCCACAGCCAUUAAACAUCCCACUCUGAAGGCAUUUUAACAGAGCGAAAAUAUCCUAAUUAAAUAUAGCAUAAAGUGAAAAUACCAGGAUAGAAAACUGGAUGUUUACCAUGAUCCCUACUGGGUUUGGAAAACAGAUCCAUAUGUAGAACUCCAAAAUACUAACAAGGGGUUUCUACGGAUUACCAAAAGGACGCGCCUUAGUUCUUUUUUUAAAUAUUACUUUUCAACAUGUAUACAUCACACAUUUUCUGGAGCAUGCAUAAAUGAUGUUUUUAAUUAGAAGGAAAUAUUUAAAAGUGCAGAUUCUUUUCUGACAGAGGAGGCAUCAAACAUGGCUCGGCUUUUAGCAGCUCCCCAGCGGAACUCUUGUCACUUGAAACUAGUGACCUCACCAAGUUCAAGUGCUGGGGAUUGAACCCAGGGCCUCAUGAAUGGUUGGCGAAUGCUCUGCCACUCAGCUACAUAUCCCGUCUUGUUCUCCACGUAGAGCUGGCAGAUAGACCUGGCCUGGGAGCAAGGAGCGACUAGUGGGGCCACAGGAGCCUGUGCCCCAGAGGAAAGAGAGGCACCUUUGAAAAUGCUUCCAAUGUCAACGCUGCGAGAAUGGUAGGGAGGGCACCGCCAGGAACAGACAGGGCUACGUGGCACGUCCCAGGCACCCCCCUGAAGCACGAGAGCCUGGUCCCCACCGUCCUGCCUUGUGACACCCGCCAGGCAGCAGGUGCUCCAAGCCAUCACAGAAACCGAAUGGCACCAUCCCCACUUGCUUGCUGGGCAGAUGGGCCUUGUCCAACCCAAAGCGACAGAGGCAGCUGCAGGCAGAACACUGAAAAGCAAGACAACCUCCCUCUCCCUGGAGCAUCAUGCAAAAAAAAAAAAAAAGGGAUUUCUCAGUUUCUCUUCUCCUGACAGCCUUCUGCUGUUGCCUCCCUGGCAUUUCUCCAUAUUAUCUUCCCAGCAUUUUCCAGGCAGUUAUGCUAGCCGGUCCACUCCCACCCACCGCACACCCACAGAAUGAGUGCCCCAUGUUAGAUUCCCCCUCAGCCACUCAGUGCCACUUCUGGACACCAUGACAAGGGAAUGGUGGGAUCAUCUGUUGCAUCAGGAACAUGUGAAUGGAGGACCCACAGCAACAGCUUCCGAGGAUGGGUGACCGGGGUAGUCAGCUUGGUGUCCACUGUGCAGCUGCUCUGUACCCAGCACUGCAGGGCACUCCAGAGAAAAUUCUGCCCAUAUUACACUAUAGGAAUAAAGGUCAUGUUUAGACCUUGGAUCUAGCUGCGAAAAGGCAUUGCACACAGUUGUUAGAAGCCAUCAAGCGCACCGUCUGUUGGAGCGAUUCUGAAGCCCAGUUCUGAGCCCAGGAACGGUGUGUGAGCCGCACCAGUGCCUCCUGGGGGCAGGAGCACCAGUGGGGUCAGGGUCUGAAUUCUCCUCCCAAAGACUGGGGUGCUACCGAGAGGGAGGAUGUUUGGGUUGGAGGCAUCCUGGAGGCUUCAAGGAGGAAGGAGGGUUUUCGUUCAUUAGAAAAUGAAAACUUGGGCGAGUUCAAGGACAAUUUGGUCAGAGGAAAUACAAUACCAGACAAGGGAUGUGCAGGAGAUAGUGAGGCAGAAAGGUAAAAGCUGAGUACUGUAGCUCAAGGACAUGAGGUUGGGCAGGUGAUGGGGGAUUCCAGAUCAUGAAACCUGAUAUGGCACAGGGAUGGGUUUUAGGGUACAUAUAGGUCUGAACACAUUGUUUCUCCUUCCACUCAUUUAAUGUCUUAAGUAUUUAUUGUGUGCCUAGGUGUGAUGCAUGAGAUUACUAGAAAUUGAAGUUCUCACACUGCCCCUUUGUCUGUCUUUAUUGCCAAAGAGAAGGAAAGAUGUGAUAAAUCAGGAGAUUUGAAAAGCCACCUGGACCUGAGGCACGGGGAUGAAGAGAGGGUCUGGCUCACCCAGGACUAUCCAACCUCAACCGUCACCCUCCGUGCUACUCAAACUGUGGUCUGUGGACUAGCAGCAUUGGCAUCACCAGCGGGUUUCUUUGGUUAAUCCUGAAUCCCAGGCAUCUCCCUAGACCUAAAGUCAGGAUGUGCAUUUUCAAAAGAUCCCCGCCCCGCAGUAAUCUGUCUGAAAUCUGGAGCCCCAAAGGCUCAGGAGCCAAGAACUAUAAGCAGAGCUGGGGGGAGUCUCAGCUGUCAUCUAAUUCAACCCCACAACAUGCAAGGUGAGGAAACUGAGGCCUAAAAAAGUUGGAUGAUUUCCCAAUUUUCCCAGUUUUUAGGAUUUCACUGUCACCUGGUUUCUGGCUCAAGAAAUCAACAGUGAUUCUAUACAGCCACACAGCCUUCCUCAGCACAAUGUACCCCUGGGAGUCACACCAUUCUCCAUCCCCUGUGCUGUGAGGUGCAGCCACAGCCCCAUGUUAUCCACAGCAAGAGUACAGAAGAGGGUGAAAAUCAACACAACUUUCCACCACUCAGAACCACAAACCAAGACAUCACAUGUGCAAGAAAAACCAUUCAGGUGGCCUGGUGGGGACCAUCCUUAUCAAGACCUUUACACAGAUUUCUACCACACCCAUAGUCUUGCCACUCAUCAAACUGUGAUAUGCAUCAUCAAAACAAAGAAAGAAGAAGAAGAAAAAAAAAAGCUUGUGAACAAGAGAUUCUCUACAGAGUAGAAUAUAAAACUCUAUUCAAGUAACUCUCUGAACUGGUUGUUUUUUAAGACUCCUCUGUAUGAAAUCCUGUUCCAGUUAGGAGUAAAUAUGAGAAGGACCAUCCCAGGCGGUUGGUGAUAAUGUGGCAUUCGUUGCAAUACUGCGUGCACAUAGAGCCUGUACUCCAAGUCAUGUGCCAGUAGAGAAGGGAGCUUUUUCCCCCCAGGGGCCAGAGUGAGGAUGCAGAAAGAGAUGGUUAAUAAUUUUCUUUUCAUUUGACAGCUUGGAAAAUCCCAGUUUGGCUUUAUCGUGCCAGCUCUUUGGUUAUAAUUUAACACCUAUUCCAAGAAAAGGAGACGCAUGAAUGUCAGCGAGCAACACAAUGCCACUUUCUUUGCCAGCCAGAACGAUCUUUUUAUGUCCUUGAUAAGCCCACAAAUAAAUUUGUCAAUUUAUUCAUAGCUGUUCUUUGGAGUCAAGAUGCAACCUCUUAUGUUCUGUAGACAUGGGUACCGCUUUCUUUACGGUCCCCCCAUCUGUUUUUCUACCACAUGGGCAUAAAGAUUUGCAGAAGCUCCUAAAUAAGAAAGUGAUUUCAAUCCUUCUGUAGUAGCUCCCUAGCCAUCUGCCAUCAUAUCCCAUGUGCACCCCGUCAUGACAACCACUUUGACUGUUUCAAGGCAAGAAUUGGGGACAGUGAUCUCCCAGACUCCGGGCAGGACUCCAUCAUGCAAAGAGGAGAAAAAAAAAAAUCGUCGCAGAGAGUGAGAUGAAGCCAGUCUCCUUUGGUGACAACGCCUUGCCUUGCAAAAGUCCCAGUGUGCUGUCAGGAAACAGACCAACCCUCCAUCAAAAGGGAGUGAAGUGACUUUAGACCUAUAGGACAAAUAUUCUGUUUUGGGAGGUCACCUGGUGUGCCUAAUAAUGCAGGGAGAAAAAAAUUCUCUUUAAUGACAUCUCAGUAGGCUCUCAUACUUUCUGGCUUUCCCAAUUGUAAGAUCUGGCAUGUUCAAAUGCUUCCUUUGUGAAGUGGUCUUUAGAUGAGAAUAGCUUUGCAUGUUCAUGUUCCCUAAUACAUCAAGAGCUGUGGGCAACCUCCCUGGGCUCCAGGCCUCUGGUAACUCUAAUUGGAGUUAUGCAAAAGCAAUUACAGUUAAUGACAGUCAUCCUGAUAUUUUCACUUCCUUUUUCUUAUGAGGCCCAGGGAUUCGGAUUCCUUUGCCUGUUCUAAAUGGUGC
This 4532-nucleotide long non-coding RNA is filed under the name Marmota monax (woodchuck). Lineage: Eukaryota; Metazoa; Chordata; Mammalia; Rodentia; Sciuridae. The record is from RNAcentral.